Long non-coding RNA from Bos taurus (domestic cattle), 1425 nucleotides. NCBI's taxonomy places the organism in Eukaryota, Metazoa, Chordata, Mammalia, Artiodactyla, Bovidae. The record is from Ensembl.
GAGCACAGCAGAGAUAUUAGAACUGGGCCAUCAUUGCCCAGCACAGGAUUCCUCUAUCAAUCAGACUUUGCUCAGAGAUUCCCUAUCAGCCUAACCAAGACUUUCCCAGGACUGCAUCGUGGUCUGGGGAGUUUCCUAAGCAAUCAUUCCUUCCCUUCUUCUCUUUUGCAAAUGCCAGGUCUGCACCACAGCCUAUAGGUUUUCUAACCUGCUUCUGUUCCCUUCCUGAAAUGGGUAUUUUCCCCGAUACAUCUCUUGGAUGUCUAACCUCAUCUUGGUAUCUGCUUCCUGGAUGACACAGGUGAUGCCAGAAGUGGUCCAAGACAACAGGCGGUAUUACAAAGUGUCGGGACUGGCGCGCUCACUAACCGAAUGUCAGGGAUGACUCCAUUCUGAAGAGACUGCAGGGCACUCACUAACCGAAUGUCAGGGAUGACUCCAUUCUGAAGAGACUGCAGGGCGCUCACUAACCGAAUGUCAGGGAUGACUCCAUUCUGAAGAGACUGCAGGGCGCUCACUAACCGAAUGUCAGGGAUGACUCCAUUCUGAAGAGACUGCAGGGCGCUCACUAACCGAAUGUCAGGGAUGACUCCAUUCUGAAGAGACUGCAGGGCACAGACAGUCCCUGGCACAGAGUCCAGUCCAGCUGCUGAAGAUUUCACCAGUGCUGAUCUGGAAAAUGCUCUGUGGGAAGGAAAUGCUCUUGGCCGUACAAUGACUCAGGUAUUUGAACGAUAUUGGGGAACAGUUCCUACAAAGACAAGAGAAUUAGUCUCUCGAGUUAGUUACCAAGUUGUUCUAGUGCGCCACACUCAGUAAUGCGAAACAGGUGUGGCAGUUGCUGGCUGACUGAGAGCAGCAGAGGGCCUCUUUGGUAGCUUAUUUCUUGCAGGGGAAAAGCAGACACAGCUGAAGAGCAUGUUUAGAAGUUAACAGUGUUGCAGAACUCCAGAGAUAUUCCAGUAAGAAACAAAACAUCAUUGGUGGCUCUAGCGCCUGUUCUCAUCUUUUACUCGAGUCCACAUAUUCGUCUCGGAAGUAUCGGAGGGUGUCCACUCUAUUCCUCUUUAGUUCAUUAAUACUGAUUGUCUACUGUGCACAGUAUAUAACUUGUCUGACUCUUGCAGUGCUGCCCUUGAACACGGGACCCUAGAAAUGUGGGAUGGAGACAUCUGAGUGGAUUCCCUCAAGGGUUUCACUCCAUAGACCUUCCCCCAAGAGUUUCCAGAGGUCCCAUCCACAAUAAGAACUACUACUUCUCCUGUGUGAGAAGACACUACCAAAGCUUCUCCUUCCUACUCCAACAGCUUGGAUGAUUUCCCCAACUCUGUCUUCCAGUUCACUGAUUCAUGCCUCUUUAUCAUCUCAUCUAUUGUUGAUUCCUUCUACUGUAAUUUUUAUUUCAGUCAUUAUAUUCUUCUGCUC